RNAcentral lists this ribosomal RNA (424 nucleotides) under uncultured Fibrobacteres/Acidobacteria group bacterium. Its description in RNAcentral is "bacterial SSU rRNA". It matches the Rfam family "Bacterial small subunit ribosomal RNA", at positions 1074 to 1502 of the family's 1533-position model. Lineage: Bacteria; Pseudomonadati. The record is from RNAcentral.
UUGGGUUAGUCCGCAACGAGCGCAACCCUUGUCCUGUGUUGCUAACCGAAAGGUGCACUCUCAGGAGACCGCCAGCGAUAAGCUGGAGGAAGGUGGGGAUGACGUCAAGUCAUCAUGGCCUUUAUGUCCAGGGCUACACACGUGCUACAAUGGGCGGUACAGACCGCUGCAAACCCGCGAGGGGGAGCAAAUCGGAAAAAACCGUCCUCAGUUCGGAUUGCAGGCUGCAACUCGCCUGCAUGAAGCUGGAAUCGCUAGUAAUGGCGUAUCAGAACGACGCCGUGAAUACGUUCCCGGGCCUUGUACACACCGCCCGUCACAUCACGAAAGUGGGUUGUACUAGAAGUCUGCGGGCCAACCCGAAAGGGAGGCAGCGGCCCAAGGUAUGACUCAUGAUUGGGGUGAAGUCGUAACAAGGUAACCA